This 253-nucleotide ribosomal RNA is filed under the name uncultured bacterium. Its description in RNAcentral is "partial 16S ribosomal RNA". It matches the Rfam family "Bacterial small subunit ribosomal RNA", at positions 524 to 776 of the family's 1533-position model. The record is from RNAcentral.
UACGUAGGGGGCAAGCGUUGUCCGGAUUUAUUGGGCGUAAAGAGCGUGUAGGCGGCCAGGUAGGUCCGUUGUGAAAACUCGAGGCUCAACCUCGAGACGCCGAUGGAAACCAUCUGGCUAGAGUCCGGAAGAGGAGAGUGGAAUUCCCGGUGUAGCGGUGAAAUGCGCAGAUAUCGGGAAGAACACCCGUGGCUAAGGCGGCUCUCUAGUACGGUACUGACGCUGAGGCGCGAAAGCGUGGGGAGCGAACAGG